CAGUGCUGCAGCUCCUUUAGAACUUGGGGCGCAGGUUUUCCGGUUUUUAUAGGAAAGCUCCA
Molecule: small nuclear RNA, 62 nt
Filed under: Tupaia belangeri (northern tree shrew)
Lineage: Eukaryota; Metazoa; Chordata; Mammalia; Scandentia; Tupaiidae
Description: U7 small nuclear RNA (ENSTBEG00000020671.1)
Source: RNAcentral